This 67-nucleotide transfer RNA is filed under the name Drawida ghilarovi. RNAcentral's name for it is "tRNA-Val". Lineage: Eukaryota; Metazoa; Annelida; Clitellata; Moniligastrida; Moniligastridae. The record is from RNAcentral.
CGAAACAUAGCAUAUAUUCUAAUGCCCUUUACUUACACUAAAAAUAAAACCUUAGGGUUAGUUUCGA